This 239-nucleotide non-coding RNA is filed under the name Liquorilactobacillus capillatus. RNAcentral describes it as "Lactobacillus capillatus T-box sequence". It matches the Rfam family "T-box leader". Rfam says of the family: Uncharged tRNA acts as the effector for transcription antitermination of genes in the T-box leader family. Lineage: Bacteria; Bacillati; Bacillota; Bacilli; Lactobacillales; Lactobacillaceae. The record is from RNAcentral.
GGAAACGCUGUGAGAAAGUUAAGUACCUUCUGUAUUCAUAAAGCGAGCUUUGUUUGGUGAGAGAAAGCAUGAUAACGAACGGGAAAAUCCCUUUUGAGCGAUGUACUGAAAUCUUAGUAACGUACACUGGUGGCACCCUUUAUCGUGCUGGCGUAUCGCUUUUUUAGCCGUACGUGAGAUUUAAUCAUCUUUGAUGGUUAUAAAAAUAAGGUGGUACCGUGCUAUUAAGCACCCUUAAU